Chroicocephalus ridibundus (black-headed gull) is the source of this 636-nucleotide long non-coding RNA. RefSeq lists it as uncharacterized. The transcript has 3 exons. NCBI's taxonomy places the organism in Eukaryota, Metazoa, Chordata, Aves, Charadriiformes, Laridae. The record is from RefSeq and is a predicted model, not a curated record.
GUGGGGAAUGGAUAUGUCUUGGAUGAAGGCUGGGAGGCAGACUGCUGAGAAGACCUACGGAAAGGCAACUAAAUUAGAGCUGCAGAUGUGCAAGCGUGACAGCAGGAAGGCCAUUGCCUGAGAAAGGCUGCAAGAUGGGAUAUCCCGUCCCAGGCAUGCUACCCCCAGGUUCUCCUUCCAGCUAGUCCCAGUGAUGUGGUGCCACUGGACCAAUGUGCCCCUGCCCAGGACACACACCUUCAGACGGGGUGCGCCGUAUGGGAGGACUAAACAGCACUUGGAUAUGUUAGCAGGAAGAGUAUCGAGCUGCUACGAUGAUGCAUUGUACAGAUUAUUUUUUUUCUGGCAGAAAGUUGUCUUGAGAAUUUGAGCAGAUGCACAGAUAGACUGAGAUUUUCAGAACAUCUAUUUUGGUCUUUAGAUCUUACUAAUUUGACCCCAGGGAGAAUUUUUAGUAAAACGCUGUAUGAAAACCUUUGUGAAUGGAAGCUCCCUACCAGGGAAUAUUGCACUUAUAACUGCCUAGUUAGGUAUUUAACUAAUGUUGAGAGGGUUGGAGUUUUUGUGCUUUUUUCUGUUUGUUUUUUUAAAAAAACAACCACACAUACACAUUUUCACAAAGUACAUACACUCAGU